This 310-nucleotide long non-coding RNA is filed under the name Phoenix dactylifera (date palm). RNAcentral's name for it is "long non-coding RNA (PDAC_LNC008474)". The record is from RNAcentral. Lineage: Eukaryota; Viridiplantae; Streptophyta; Magnoliopsida; Arecales; Arecaceae.
AUGAGUCUCAAUUUCACAAUGGUUGCAAACAGUGUAAAUUCUACCAACCUCCAUACAGCUGCAGUUAUGUUGUCCUAAAUUGGUUUCUGCUUUACAGGUACAUAGGUGUGAUGUUUGGACAAGUAAUCUUGUUUUACUUUGCAAUGUUUGUGUGGUUGCAGUUACACUGUCAUGAGAUGUGAUGUUUAGGCAAAUAAUCUUGUUUGUGUCAUAAUUUUUUCCCAUUUUUUCUUGUAUAUUCUUGUAGUUUGCUUACAUUUGCAUUUCAAGGUGAAAAUUGGGGUUCAAAACCAUAAAAAAUCGAGAAUAA